CGCGAGCAGGAUUCAAACUCUAACCGCUAGGGUCUCGCGCACACUUCGCGUCAGCGAGAUUUCCAGCAGGUGGGCGUGUGCGUGGUGUUUUUAUUCAGGGCGGCGCGUGAAGUGUUGCCGUUGGUGGAAAAUGCUGGAAAGAGUCAACCCGUCAAGCAACGUUCUGUGGACCAGCAAAGCAGUUCCAAGUUUCAGAUCAGAGACAUUCAUCAAAACAUGACUAAAGGCCACCGAUGAAACGUUACAAUCGUGUAUUUUACCAGUCCUCCACUCUACCCAGAGCUUUGUUUCUGUUUUUUAAAAAAAAACUGCGUUGGACACAUACUAUAGUACUGUAUAUAGGUUUAUAAAUGAGAAACAGAAGUCACAUGACAAAAAUAAACAAGGCUGGAAAAAGACAACACAAAAUGAUUCAAACUAAUCCAUUGUAGUCUUAAGUCAAUCAAAAUGACCCUGUAGCAAUAAAAACCACAGUCAGAUAUUAA
Long non-coding RNA from Rhincodon typus (whale shark), 485 nucleotides. RefSeq lists it as uncharacterized. Lineage: Eukaryota; Metazoa; Chordata; Chondrichthyes; Orectolobiformes; Rhincodontidae. The transcript is spliced from 2 exons. The record is from RefSeq and is a predicted model, not a curated record.